CGGUGUUUAACUGGCGUGAUGUGGGACGUCCUACCGGUGGGCUUAGCCUCGCGAGGGGCGGCCCAACUAAUAUCCCGUCGCGGUGCUCUUUACUGAGUGUCGAGUCGGGCCGGUACGUUUACUUUGAACAAAAUUAGAGUGCUUAAAGCAGGCUAUCCCUCGCCCUGAAAUACUGCGUGCAUGGAAUAAUGGAAUAGGACCUCGGUUCUAUUUUGUUGGUUUUCGGAACCCCGAGGUAAUGAUUAAUAGGGACAGAUGGGGGCAUUCGUAUUGCGACGUUAGAGGUGAAAUUCUUGGAUCGUCGCAAGACGGACAGAAGCGAAAGCAUUUGCCAAAAAUGUUUUCAUUAAUCAAGAACGAAAGUUAGAGGUUCGAAGGCGAUCAGAUACCGCCCUAGUUCUAACCAUAAACGAUGCCAGCUAGCGAUCCGCCGAAGUUCCUCCGAUGACUCGGCGGGCAGCUUCCGGGAAACCAAAGCUUUUGGGUUCCGGGGGAAGUAUGGUUGCAAAGCUGAAACUUAAAGGAAUUGACGGAAGGGCACCACCAGGAGUGGAGCCUGCGGCUUAAUUUGACUCAACACGGGAAACCUCACCAGGCCCAGACACCGGAAGGAUUGACAGAUUGAUAGCUCUUUCUUGAUUCGGUGGGUGGUGGUGCAUGGCCGUUCUUAGUUGGUGGAGCGAUUUGUCUGGUUAAUUCCGAUAACGAACGAGACUCUAGCCUGCUAAAUAGGCGUACCUUAUGGUAUCGCGAAGGCCCCCGGCUUCGGCCGGUGGGUUUUUACUACCAACGUACAAACAAAUCUUCUUAGAGGGACAGGCGG
This 823-nucleotide ribosomal RNA is filed under the name uncultured eukaryote. RNAcentral describes it as "SSU rRNA". It matches the Rfam family "Eukaryotic small subunit ribosomal RNA", at positions 629 to 1426 of the family's 1831-position model. The record is from RNAcentral.